GACGAACGCUGGCGGCGUGCCUAAUACAUGCAAGUAGAACGCUGAAGCUUGGUGCUUGCACCGAGCGGAUGAGUUGCGAACGGGUGAGUAACGCGUAGGUAACCUGCCUGGUAGCGGGGGAUAACUAUUGGAAACGAUAGCUAAUACCGCAUAAGAGUAGAUGUUGCAUGACAUUUGCUUAAAAGGUGCAAUUGCAUCACUACCAGAUGGACCUGCGUUGUAUUAGCUAGUUGGUGAGGUAACGGCUCACCAAGGCAACGAUACAUAGCCGACCUGAGAGGGUGAUCGGCCACACUGGGACUGAGACACGGCCCAGACGCCUACGGGAGGCAGCAGUAGGGAAUCUUCGGCAAUGGACGGAAGUCUGACCGAGCAACGCCGCGUGAGUGAAGAAGGUUUUCGGAUCGUAAAGCUCGGUUGUAAGAGAAGAACGAGUGUGAGAGUGGAAAGUUCACACUGUGACGGUAUCUUACCAGAAAGGGACGGCUAACUACGUG
RNAcentral lists this ribosomal RNA (497 nucleotides) under uncultured bacterium. RNAcentral's name for it is "partial 16S ribosomal RNA". It matches the Rfam family "Bacterial small subunit ribosomal RNA", at positions 28 to 507 of the family's 1533-position model. The record is from RNAcentral.